RNAcentral lists this ribosomal RNA (494 nucleotides) under uncultured bacterium. RNAcentral's name for it is "bacterial SSU rRNA". It matches the Rfam family "Bacterial small subunit ribosomal RNA", at positions 30 to 518 of the family's 1533-position model. The record is from RNAcentral.
UGAACGCUAGCGACAGGCCUAACACAUGCAAGUCGAGGGGCAGCACAAGGAGCAAUCUGAGGUGGCGACCGGCGCACGGGUGAGUAACACGUAUGCAACCUGCCUGUAAGCGGGGAAUAACCCGUUGAAAGACGGACUAAUACCGCAUAAUACUAAAUUACUGCAUGGUAAUUUAUUUAAACAUUUAUGGCUUACAGAUGGGCAUGCGCAUGAUUAGCUAGUUGGAGAGGUAACGGCUCCCCAAGGCAACGAUCAUUAGGGGUUCUGAGAGGAAGGUCCCCCACACUGGUACUGAGACACGGACCAGACUCCUACGGGAGGCAGCAGUGAGGAAUAUUGGUCAAUGGACGAGAGUCUGAACCAGCCAAGUCGCGUGCAGGAAGAAUGUCCCUAUGGAUUGUAAACUGCUUUUGCAGGGGAAUAAAGUGCAUCACGUGUGAUGUUUUGUAUGUACUCUGCGAAUAAGGAUCGGCUAACUCCGUGCCAGCAGCGGC